GAUGAACGCUGGCGGCGUGCCUAAUACAUGCAAGUCGAGCGAACAGACGAGGAGCUUGCUCCUCUGACGUUGGCGGCGGACGGGUGAGUAACACGUGGAUAACCUACCUAUAAGACUGGGAUAACUUCGGGAAACCGGAGCUAAUACCGGAUAAUAUAUUGAACCGCAUGGUUCAAUAGUGAAAGACGGUUUUGCUGUCACUUAUAGAUGGAUCCGCGCCGCAUUAGCUAGUUGGUAAGGUAACGGCUUACCAAGGCAACGAUGCGUAGCCGACCUGAGAGGGUGAUCGGCCACACUGGAACUGAGACACGGUCCAGACUCCUACGGGAGGCAGCAGUAGGGAAUCUUCCGCAAUGGGCGAAAGCUUGACGGAGCAACGCCGCGUGAGUGAUGAAGGUCUUCGGAUCGUAAAACUCUGUUAUUAGGGAAGAACAAAUGUGUAAGUAACUAUGCACGUCUUGACGGUACCUAAUCAGAAAGCCACGGCGAACUACGU
Molecule: ribosomal RNA, 496 nt
Filed under: uncultured bacterium
Lineage: Bacteria
Description: partial 16S ribosomal RNA
Rfam family: Bacterial small subunit ribosomal RNA
Source: RNAcentral